GACGAACGCUGGCGGCGUGCUUAACACAUGCAAGUCGAACGGUGAAGCUCCAGCUUGUUGGUGUGGAUCAGUGGCGAACGGGUGAGUAACACGUGAGCAACCGGCCCCUGACUCUGGAAUAAGCGCUGGAAACGGCGUCUAAUACUGGAUACGAGAAGGGUCCGCAUGGGCACUUUCUGGAAAGUUUUUCGGUUGGGGAUGGGCUCGCGGCCUAUCAGCUUGUUGGUGAGGUAAUGGCUCACCAAGGCGACGACGGGUAGCCGGCCUGAGAGGGCGACCGGCCACACUGGGACUGAGACACGGCCCAGACUCCUACGGGAGGCAGCAGUGGGGAAUAUUGCACAAUGGGCGAGAGCCUGAUGCAGCGACGCCGCGUGAGGGAUGACGGCCUUCGGGUUGUAAACCUCUUUCAGCAGGGAAGAAGCGAAAGUGACGGUACCUGAAGAAGAAGCACCGGCUAACUACGUG
RNAcentral lists this ribosomal RNA (468 nucleotides) under uncultured bacterium. RNAcentral's name for it is "partial 16S ribosomal RNA". It matches the Rfam family "Bacterial small subunit ribosomal RNA", at positions 28 to 507 of the family's 1533-position model. The record is from RNAcentral.